Molecule: ribosomal RNA, 253 nt
Filed under: uncultured bacterium
Lineage: Bacteria
Description: partial 16S ribosomal RNA
Rfam family: Bacterial small subunit ribosomal RNA
Source: RNAcentral
GACAGAGGGUGCAAGCGUUGUUCGGAAUUACUGGGCGUAAAGGGCGCGUAGGCGGUCCGCUAAGUUCGGCGUGAAAUCCCCUGGCUCAACUGGGGAACGGCGCUGGAUACUGGUGGACUUGAGUACCGGAGAGGAGAGUGGAAUUCCUGGUGUAGCGGUGAAAUGCGUAGAUAUCAGGAGGAACACCGGUGGCGAAGGCGGCUCUCUGGACGGAUACUGACGCUGAGGCGCGAAAGCGUGGGGAUCAAACAGG